This 2292-nucleotide ribosomal RNA is filed under the name Abacarus sp. HN235_2. RNAcentral describes it as "partial small subunit ribosomal RNA". It matches the Rfam family "Eukaryotic small subunit ribosomal RNA". Lineage: Eukaryota; Metazoa; Arthropoda; Arachnida; Trombidiformes; Eriophyidae. The record is from RNAcentral.
UGUAAAGUUCAAGCUCCGAUUUGUGAGGGCGAAACCGCGAAUGGCUCAUUAAAUCAGUCAUAAUCUACUUGAUUGUUUAAAGUUUAUAUGGAUAACUGUGGUAAUUCUAGAGCUAAUACAUGCGUGAAGGGGGCGACUCCGCGAGGAGAAGCUCUGCGUUUAUUAGACUAAGACCGGCGGGAGCUCGCAAGGGCUCUCAUCAUCUAAGGUGACUCUGAGUAAAUAAUGGGUGCAAGCCCAUGUUGCCGACCUGGCAUCUAAACGGCCCCGUCAAACGGGUCGGCCAGGCGAAUCAAUCGAGUGUCUGCUCUAUCAACUGUGGAUGGUAGGGUAAUUGCCUACCAUGGUGGUGACGGGUAACGGGGAGUUAGGGCUCGACUCCGGAGAACAAGCCUGAGAAACGGCUAGUAGGACUAAGGUCUGCAGCAGGCGCGAAACUUACACAAUGCUAGAUUUCGAUUAGCGAUGUAGUGAAGAAAAAUAACGAUGUACUUGUAUUUAAACAUACUUGUACAAUUGGAAUGAGACGACUCUAAACCAGUCAGUCGAGUAACAAAUGGAGGGCAAGUCUGGUGCCAGCAGCCGCGGUAAUUCCAGCUCCAUUAGCAUACAUUAAAGUUGUUGCGGUUAAAAAGCUCGUAGUUGAAUUUUGGACGGGCUCUUGUAGGAUGCGACCAUUCAAGGCGUACUUGUCAUCUUCGGAUGCGAUGCGCUGGCCGUAGUUCCCACACGGAACCCGUUGUUUCGUCACUUAAUCGAGUGCGAAGCGGGCUGGUGUAUCACGUGCGAUCGCAAGAUCCACUUACAACAGCAUGUUUACCUUGAGAAAAUUAGAGUGCUCACAGCAGUACCUUGAGAAAAAUUAGAGUGCUCAGAGCAGGCAGUUGGGAUGUAAAAGUCUCUUUAUGCUUGAAUAAUGUUGCAUGGAAUAAUAGAAUACGGCCUCGGUUCUAUUCUGUUGGUCUUAUAGAACAACAAAUAAGUUGAUUUGGGCGUCAAACGGCCCGCCAAGAGUGUGGUUGUGUUGCAUUUGUGUUGUCUGGGGCCUAAAAAUCUCAGUACCUCAGUGCGGCCAACCUCAAAAGCGCUCCUGGCUCAGGUCAGCCUUCAAUCAACUGAGGCAAUGGUUAAAAGAAAUAGUCGCGGCGGCAAUCAGUACUGCAAUCGUGAGAGGUGAAAUUCUUUAGACCGAUACAUCGUGAGAGGUGAAAUUCUUAGACCGAUGCAAGACUAACUGAAGCGAAAGCGUUUGCCGAGGAUAUUUUCAUUAAUCAAGAACGAAAGUUAGAGGUUCGAAGGCGAUCAGAUACCGCCCUAGUUCUAACCAUAAACGUUGCCAACUAGCAAUUGGAUUGCGAUUCCUUUAGUUGAAGCCUAAAAAACUUCAACCAUUAUGAUCCAUCCAGCGGCUCUCGUAGGGAAACCAAAGUGUUUGGGUUCCGGGGGAAGUAUGAUUGCAAAGUUGAAACUUAAAGGAAUUGACGGAAGGGCACCACCAGGAGUGGAGCCUGCGGCUUAAUUUGACUCAACACGGGGAAACUUACUAGAUUAGAACUCUGGAAUGAUUGACAGAUUGAUAGCUCUUUCUUGAUUCAGAGGAUGGUGGUGCAUGGCCGUUCUUGAUUCGUAUUCCGAAACGUCUGCUUAAUUGCGAUAACGAGUGAGACCUCACUAAGCUAACUAGUGGUGUCGUGCGCUGUGGAACGCAAAAGUUCUGUGUGGGUUCUUGUUGUUGGUGGCUUUCGGGUUGCUGGCAGCGCCCCGCAUGGGAUGUUCUCUGCUCGCGUACCGACUUCUUAGCUAGAUCCGGAGCAUAAAGCUCCUAGAGACGAGGCAAUAACAGGUCUGUGAUGCCCUAAGAUAUUGUAGGCCGCACGCGUGCUACAAUGGCGUGUGCAGAAAGCUUGUUCGAGAGGCGUCUAGAGAGAACUAGUUGUUUGGUUUGGGUUGGGGGCAACUCUAGCUCAGGUCGGCAGCCAAGUGACUCUAGUAACGACUCGAGAGAAACCGCAGCCGAAAGGUUGUGGCAAUCAUUAAUAGACGCCGUGAUUUGGGAUUGGGGAUUGCAAUUGUUGCCCAUGAACGAGGAAUUCCCAGUAAGCGCGAUUCAUCAUAUCGCGCUGAUUACGUCCCUGCCCUUUGUACACACCGCCCGUCGCUACUACCGAUUGGAAGUUUUAGUGAGGCAUCUGGACUUGCUGGCCAGGGGAUGGGCAACCGUUCCAGGCUUUGCGGGGAAGUUUGUCGAACUCAAAUUUCUAGAGGAAGUAAAAGUCGUAACAAGGUUUCCGU